RNAcentral lists this ribosomal RNA (342 nucleotides) under uncultured Glomeromycotina. Its description in RNAcentral is "eukaryotic LSU rRNA". Lineage: Eukaryota; Fungi; Glomeromycota. The record is from RNAcentral.
AUCAGCUUUUUGAGUGUGAUUAUGUGGAUUGUGAGGAGUUUAAUCACCCUCACGUUUUACGUAUUCGUGCUCUUGGGUGUACUUGCCCGUGUGGUAGGUUAACAUCAAUUUUGGUCGUCAUAAAAUGACUGGAGGAAUGUAGCUUUGGUCUCGUAUCGAAGUGUUAUAGACUCUGGUAGAUGUGACGAUUGGGAUUGAGGAUUGCAACGGAUACCCUUCGGGGCUACUCGUCUGAUCUCUGAAGGUUGCUCCGGUGCCGAAAGCGUGCUUACGGUCAUCGAAAGUGAUUUUCAAAAGGUUAGAACGGGUUAAAUUCGUUAAGGAUGUUGACGUAGUGGCUUU